AACGAACGCUGGCGGCAGGCUUAACACAUGCAAGUCGAGCGCCCCGCAAGGGGAGCGGCAGACGGGUGAGUAACGCGUGGGAAUCUACCCAUCUCUACGGAAUAACUCAGGGAAACUUGUGCUAAUACCGUAUACGCCCUUAGGGGGAAAGAUUUAUCGGAGAUGGAUGAGCCCGCGUUGGAUUAGCUAGUUGGUGGGGUAAAGGCCUACCAAGGCGACGAUCCAUAGCUGGUCUGAGAGGAUGAUCAGCCACAUUGGGACUGAGACACGGCCCAAACUCCUACGGGAGGCAGCAGUGGGGAAUAUUGGACAAUGGGCGCAAGCCUGAUCCAGCCAUGCCGCGUGAGUGAUGAAGGCCUUAGGGUUGUAAAGCUCUUUCACCGGAGAAGAUAAUGACGGUAUCCGGAGAAGAAGCCCCGGCUAACUUCGUGCCAGCAGCCGCGGUAAUACGAAGGGGGCUAGCGUUGUUCGGAAUUACUGGGCGUAAAGCGCACGUAGGCGGACCGAUCAGUCAGGGGUGAAAUCCCAGAGCUCAACUCUGGAACUGCCUUUGAUACUGUCGAUCUAGAGUAUGGAAGAGGUGAGUGGAAUUCCGAGUGUAGAGGUGAAAUUCGUAGAUAUUCGGAGGAACACCAGUGGCG
This 641-nucleotide ribosomal RNA is filed under the name uncultured Hyphomicrobiales bacterium. RNAcentral describes it as "bacterial SSU rRNA". It matches the Rfam family "Bacterial small subunit ribosomal RNA", at positions 28 to 717 of the family's 1533-position model. The record is from RNAcentral. Lineage: Bacteria; Pseudomonadati; Pseudomonadota; Alphaproteobacteria; Hyphomicrobiales.